CCUACGGGAGGCAGCAGUGAGGAAUAUUGGUCAAUGGGCGCGAGCCUGAACCAGCCAAGUCGCGUGAGGGAGGACGGCCCUACGGGUUGUAAACCUCUUUUGCCGGGGAGCAACGGGCGCCACGUGUGGCGUCACUGAGAGUACCCGGAGAAAAAGCAUCGGCUAACUCCGUGCCAGCAGCCGCGGUAAUACGGAGGAUGCGAGCGUUAUCCGGAUUUAUUGGGUUUAAAGGGAGCGUAGAUGGGUUGUUAAGUCCGUUGGGAAAGUUUGGGGCUCAACCGGAAAAUUGCAAUGGAUACUGGCAGUCUUGAGUACAGUUGAGGCAGGCGGAAUGCGUGGUGUAGCGGUGAAAUGCUUAGAGAUAACGAAGAACACCGAUGGCGAAGGCAGAUUACUAGACUGCCACUGACAUUGAUGCUCGAAAGUGUGGGUAUCAAACAGGAUUAGAUACCCCAGUAGUC
Molecule: ribosomal RNA, 461 nt
Filed under: uncultured bacterium
Lineage: Bacteria
Description: partial 16S ribosomal RNA
Rfam family: Bacterial small subunit ribosomal RNA
Source: RNAcentral